Molecule: ribosomal RNA, 1388 nt
Filed under: Amphidiniopsis uroensis
Lineage: Eukaryota; Dinophyceae; Peridiniales; Amphidiniopsidaceae
Description: eukaryotic LSU rRNA
Rfam family: Eukaryotic large subunit ribosomal RNA
Source: RNAcentral
UUAAGCAUAUAAGUAAGCGGAGGAGAAGAAACUAAACAGGAUUCCCUCAGUAAUGGCGAAUGAACAGGGGAGUGCUCAGCAUGGAAAUUGGGGUCUUUGACCUUGAGUUGUGAUCUCGAGAUACACAGCCAACAUUGGUGCAGGCGUAGGCCUCUUGGGAAAGAGCAUCGUCGAGGGUGAGAGUCCCGCGCGUCGCCUGCAACCUCUUGUCUACGGUGUGUUUUCCAAGAGUCACGUUCCUCGGGAUUGGAGCGCAAAGAGGGUGGUAAUUUUCAUCUAAAGCUAAAUAUGGGUUCGAGACCGAUAGCAAACAAGUACCCUGAGGGAAAAUUGAAAAGGACUUUGAAAAGAGAGUUAAACAGAGCCUGCCAUUGCUGAAAGGGAAGCGAACGACACCAGUGUGUGACUUGGCGAGAUUGCUGCGUCGCUAACAGGAUUGCCUCCCUCUGUCAACGCAAGUGGCGAGGUGGGUCUUGACUGGGAACGCACGUGGCACUUCUUGCCCUGUCAGUCAGCGUCUGUUUGCGCACAGGGAAAAUGGUGUGGGCAAGUUAGCCUCGCCCUUGGUGAGGGAAUGCCUGCGCUGUGACCCGUGCGUGUACAGGUCGAUGACGACAUGGUUUCUUUCGACCCGUCUUGAAACACGGACCAAGGAGUCUAACAUAUGUGCGAGUUCGCAGGUGUUUAAGCUUGUUUGCGCAAUGAAAGUGACUGCUGGGAUUUUUGCACCAGCAACCGACCAAUCAUUCGAGAAAGGUUUGAGUAUGAGCAUAUCUGUUAGGACCCGAAAGAUGGUGAACUAUGCCUGUGAAGGGCAAACUCAGGGGAAACUCUGAUGGAGGCUCGUAGCGAUACUGACGUGCAAAUCGUUCGUCAUACAUGGGUAUGGGGGCGAAAGACUAAUCGAACCAUCUAGUAGCUGGUUCCCUCCGAAGUUUCCCUCAGGAUAGCUGGAGUUGAACAGUUUUAUCAGGUAAAGCGAAUGAUUAGAGGAAUCGGGGGCGCGUCGUCCUCGACCUAUUCUCAAACUUUAAAUGGGUAAGAUCCAGUGGUUACUUGGUUGAACUUCUGGGAUACAUGACAACUCUAAGUGGGCCAUUUUUGGUAAGCAGAACUGGCGAUGAGGGAUGAACCUAACGUUGGGUUAAGGUGCUUAAUUGCUCGCUCAUCAGAUACCAUAAAGGGUGUUGGUUCAUUUUAACAGCAGGACGGUGGUCAUGGAAGUCGAAAUCCGCUAAGGAGUGUGUAACAACUCACCUGCCGAAUGGACUAGCCCCGAAAAUGGAUAGCGCUAAAGCGGGUGACUGAUACCCAACCAUUGUUGCAAUGGUGGUGCGUCAAUGAGUAGGAGGGCAUGGGGGUUUGUGAGGAAGUCUGUGGCGCAAGCC